GACGAACCGUGCGAACGUUGUUCGGAAUCACUGGGCUUAAAGGGCGCGUAGGCGGGUUCCCAAGUCGGGGGGUGAAAUCUUUCGGCCCAACCGGAAAAGGGCCUCCGAUACUGGGAACCUCGAGGGGGGUAGGGGUCGGCGGAACUUCCGGUGGAGCGGUGAAAUGCGUAGAUAUCGGAAGGAACGCCGGUGGCGAAAGCGGCCGACUGGACCUCACUUGACGCUGAGGCGCGAAAGCCAGGGGAGCGAACGGG
Molecule: ribosomal RNA, 254 nt
Filed under: uncultured bacterium
Lineage: Bacteria
Description: partial 16S ribosomal RNA
Rfam family: Bacterial small subunit ribosomal RNA
Source: RNAcentral